This 845-nucleotide ribosomal RNA is filed under the name Pseudomonas fulva. Its description in RNAcentral is "bacterial SSU rRNA". It matches the Rfam family "Bacterial small subunit ribosomal RNA", at positions 35 to 875 of the family's 1533-position model. Lineage: Bacteria; Pseudomonadati; Pseudomonadota; Gammaproteobacteria; Pseudomonadales; Pseudomonadaceae. The record is from RNAcentral.
GCUGGCGGCAGGCCUAACACAUGCAAGUCGAGCGGAUGACAGGAGCUUGCUCCUGGAUUCAGCGGCGGACGGGUGAGUAAUGCCUAGGAAUCUGCCUGGUAGUGGGGGACAACGUUUCGAAAGGAACGCUAAUACCGCAUACGUCCUACGGGAGAAAGCAGGGGACCUUCGGGCCUUGCGCUAUCAGAUGAGCCUAGGUCGGAUUAGCUUGUUGGUGAGGUAAUGGCUCACCAAGGCGACGAUCCGUAACUGGUCUGAGAGGAUGAUCAGUCACACUGGAACUGAGACACGGUCCAGACUCCUACGGGAGGCAGCAGUGGGGAAUAUUGGACAAUGGGCGAAAGCCUGAUCCAGCCAUGCCGCGUGUGUGAAGAAGGUCUUCGGAUUGUAAAGCACUUUAAGUUGGGAGGAAGGGUUGUAGAUUAAUACUCUGCAAUUUUGACGUUACCGACAGAAUAAGCACCGGCUAACUCUGUGCCAGCAGCCGCGGUAAUACAGAGGGUGCAAGCGUUAAUCGGAAUUACUGGGCGUAAAGCGCGCGUAGGUGGUUUGUUAAGUUGGAUGUGAAAGCCCCGGGCUCAACCUGGGAACUGCAUCCAAAACUGGCAAGCUAGAGUACAGUAGAGGGUGGUGGAAUUUCCUGUGUAGCGGUGAAAUGCGUAGAUAUAGGAAGGAACACCAGUGGCGAAGGCGACCACCUGGACUGAUACUGACACUGAGGUGCGAAAGCGUGGGGAGCAAACAGGAUUAGAUACCCUGGUAGUCCACGCCGUAAACGAUGUCAAGUAGCCGUUGGAAUCCUUGAGAUUUUAGUGGCGCAGCUAACGCAUUAAUGUGACCGGCUG